Monodelphis domestica (gray short-tailed opossum) is the source of this 1903-nucleotide non-coding RNA. NCBI's taxonomy places the organism in Eukaryota, Metazoa, Chordata, Mammalia, Didelphimorphia, Didelphidae. The record is from RefSeq and is a predicted model, not a curated record.
AAUAUUUGUGCCUUAGAAUAACUCACCUUUGAACUAUAUUAUUUCUCUUAUUUUUCAGUCUGAACCUGUGAUUUGAUCCAUGCGGUGAUCUCCUAUGAGGAAAUUCUGUCUACCAAUGCAGACCUUCCAUCCUCCUUCAUCAUUUUCAAGAGAGGGCAGAGGCUGGCCCAAUAUCUUUCAGAAAGGGCAUCCGGGCCAACAGGUUGAAAGGCCCUUGAAGACUAUACAAAUCUUUGCCAGUCGUAGCAUUGGGCUGGAAUCAGUGUAUCUGGGGUGUAAGCCAUCUUUGAAUGAGAUUUCCAAAAGGGACUCAUCUGGGGACGGCGCUCUUUGUUUAAAAGGAAAACAACCCCAGAGAUGAAGGCGCUACCUCUCCUCCGGUUAUUGGCAUUGUAUUUUUCCAGGUAAAUCCUGGGAUCCUAUUCAAUCAGUCAGCACCCCGAAGGCUUUAGAGAUGCAGAAGAAGGAGGGAAAGGAACAAAGAAAUCAGACAAGCGCUGUGAUCUUGAACUGCGACUUCCAGCAGCUGCAUUUUCUAAACAGCCGCCACAUUUUGCUGGUGUAUCUGUGAGGCCUGUCCAUUAUGUGUGCAAACACAAUCUGAUUAGUAUUUGUUAUAAGCUUGUCUUGUCUGCUUUUAUUACAGACAUCACCUUCAGACGUGGGGCCACUGCAGCUAUUAAAUCCGGAAUAUUUAGCUAUUAUUUGUAAUAAAUGUCAGCAGGGCUGAACUGAAGCCAGCAGGAAAUGUUCAGGGCAGAAAACACACUGACAUUCAUUCAUGCAAAUUUGUACCACUGGUAGAAUUAAUCAUAAAGGGGGAGGCUAGAGCAUACAAUGCAUUUAUAUUACUGGUUUGGCCAAUUGCGGUUCUUCCUGAAAGUGAAAGCUGUAAUGAACAGGAAGCAAUCUGCUAACAAAUCGUCCCAGGUGAAGUACAGGCGGCGAGAUGAACUUUGCAGGUUUCCACUGACCCCUUCCAGUCCCAAAUCUGCCCCUGCUCUGGACCUCGCGGCAUCCUAGGCGUAUCCUACUUCCUUUUCCCGGAGGAUGCUGAUGUCGAACGUGCACCUCCAAAGCGUCCUUCUCUUCCUUGGACCAGAGAGAUCGAAAGAGCGUCUCACAUCUCGACGUGUUCGCCUCUGCCUCACAGGAUUAAAAAACAAGGCGCUUCUGUUACCCUGUUUGAGGUGAUGUUAGAACCUGGUUCAUUGACGAUGAAGAAAUCAUUACAUGCUGAAGAGGAGGAAGUUCAAAUCCAUUUUAAUCUGUCACCGUGCAAUUUGAGGUGAAAUCCACAUGACUGAAUCAUUUCAUCCAGUUGAAAGGAAACUCUUAACACCGUUUUCACAGAGUUGUCCCAGAACCAAGCAUGAAGGAGUAUCAUUUAAUUCUACAAGUGAGUCAAGUUCACACCAGAAAAGAAUUAGCCAAGUAUUUAUUUUUUUUUCUGAAAAUGUGAGAAAAACAGAAUUGCAGAAUAAAUGUUAAUCUUUCUCAUUUUCUUGAGGCAUAAAAUUGUUCUUCACAAAGAAAUGAGACCCGCUGAAAGGAGCUGACAGAGAAAUUAUAGGUGCCUUCAGAAACAAUGAUUAUUCCUAUGGUGUCUCAGUGCUGGAAUUUGAAUAAAAAAUCAUGGAGAGCAGAGGACCAAAAUAAAAUUCUCUCCACAAUCACAUGCCAACAUUGACCAAAAUAUAAAACAGAAUCAUUCGAAAUGUUUUAUAUGCUGAGGAGAUCAGAGCAAAGACAGUUUUUCUAAAGCAAUUUAAAACCAUAUUUUCAUCACGCUGGUUAGCAUCUGGUUUUUAGCAUGCAUUAUAUUUUAAAAAUCUUUUCUUUGAAGGAGUUUAAGGAGAAGGCAUAUACCCGUUAAAUAAAAACAAGGCCUUUCUGUGAAAUA